UGCAAGUCGAACGAACCUUCGGGUUAGUGGCGGACGGGUGAGUAACGCGUGAGAAUCUGCCCUCAGGAGGGGGACAACAGCUGGAAACGGCUGCUAAUACCCCAUAUGCCGAGAGGUGAAACGAAUUUCGCCUGAGGAUGAGCUCGCGUCUGAUUAGCUAGUUGGUAUGGUAAUGGCGCACCAAGGCAUCGAUCAGUAGCUGGUCUGAGAGGAUGAUCAGCCACACUGGGACUGAGACACGGCCCAGACUCCUACGGGAGGCAGCAGUGGGGAAUUUUCCGCAAUGGGCGAAAGCCUGACGGAGCAACGCCGCGUGAGGGAUGAAGGCCUCUGGGCUGUAAACCUCUUUUCUCAAGGAAGAAGAUCUGACGGUACUUGAGGAAUAAGCCACGGCUAAUUCCGUGCCAGCAGCCGCGGUAAUACGGGAGUGGCAAGCGUUAUCCGGAAUUAUUGGGCGUAAAGCGUCCGCAGGCGGUCCAGAAAGUCUGCUGUUAAAAAGUGGAGCUUAACUCCAUCAUGGCAGUGGAAACUACUGGACUAGAGUGUGGUAGGGGCAGAGGGAAUUCCCGGUGUAGCGGUGAAAUGCGUAGAUAUCGGGAAGAACACCAGUGGCGAAGGCGCUCUGCUGGGCCAUAACUGACGUUCAUAGACGAAAGCCAGGGGAGCGAAAGGGAUUAGAUACCCCUGUAGUCCUGGCCGUAAACGAUGAACACUAGGUGUCGGGGGAAUCGACCCCCUCGGUGUCGUAGCCAACGCGUUAAGUGUUCCGCCUGGGGAGUACGCACGCAAGUGUGAAACUCAAAGGAAUUGACGGGGGCCCGCCACAAGCGUGAGUAUGUGUUUAUUCGAUGCACGCGAAAACCUCACCAGGUUUGACAUCCUGCGAUCUCCUGGA
This 895-nucleotide ribosomal RNA is filed under the name uncultured bacterium. RNAcentral describes it as "bacterial SSU rRNA". It matches the Rfam family "Bacterial small subunit ribosomal RNA", at positions 56 to 1004 of the family's 1533-position model. The record is from RNAcentral.